CACCCCUACGGGACGCAGCAGGGAAUAUUGCUCAAUGGGGGAAACCCUGAAGCAGCAACGCCGCGUGGAGGAUGAAGGUUUUCGGAUUGUAAACUCCUUUUGUUAGAGAAGAUAAUGACGGUAUCUAACGAAUAAGCACCGGCUAACUCCGUGCCAGCAGCCGCGGUAAUACGGAGGGUGCAAGCGUUACUCGGAAUCACUGGGCGUAAAGAGCGCGUAGGCGGGAUAGCAAGUCAGAUGUGAAAUCCUAUGGCUUAACCAUAGAACUGCAUUUGAAACUGUUAUUCUAGAGUAUGGGAGAGGUA
This 305-nucleotide ribosomal RNA is filed under the name uncultured bacterium. RNAcentral's name for it is "bacterial SSU rRNA". It matches the Rfam family "Bacterial small subunit ribosomal RNA", at positions 334 to 659 of the family's 1533-position model. The record is from RNAcentral.